CCCCAAACCUUUAUUAAAUGCACGGCACUGAGUGGGGACUUUUGAUCAAUGUUGAUGAGAUAUUGGAAAAUUCAGCCCUCGUGUUUCAUCAGCUGCAGCAAAAUACUUCAGCGCAGAUGAACGGAGCCCAGAUGGCAACUUUGGCUGCAGAGCAUUUCUGCCCCAACCAUAUGCUGCUCAGAAGGGGAAGGGAUGCAGGGUUUGAUUUGAAGCUUUGGGACUUGCAGGUGCCACAUGGAGCACUGUGGUGACACGGUGGGGACGUGGCACUGCUGUCCUACAGUGGGAAAAGGGCAUGGCAGGGAGCCAGGGAUGCACACACUGGGGCUUUGUGGGGCCACUGGUUGAGGCAGUGAUGUAAUUGGGCCAACAAACACACUGUUAGUGAGAGGACUUUUUGGUACUGUGGGUCGAGUUCUUCCUGCAGAAACAGGAGGAUUUUCUUUUUGAGAACGUGAGAGCUGAGCAAACACCUCCAGCAGAAGCCUGUGUAAGUUUGAAUCGUGUCUCAUCCCUGAGAUGCUGCUGUUUGCAUGCAGAAAUUGGCCUUCUUUCUUCCUUUCACAGCCUCAUGAGACAUUCUGUGGAAGGUGCCAAGCACUGGACGAGUAACAUUUCCCCACUCUGCAUCAGUUUAAUCAACACCUGCUUGGCCAAGCAGCAGUGAGUGUGAGAAGAGGUCGAGUUGGGCUCCCGGACACAUGGGGAACUGCUGAGACUCAGACUGCACACAGCAGCACAACAGUGACAAAGCUGCCUUGGUUCUGCAACCAGGAGCACUAUCACAAUCCCAGCUCAGAGAUGAGAUGGGAGGAUCAGAGCAGGGCUUUGGAGAGUCCUACGCAGAGAUCAUCAUCCAAGGACAUGUUAUCGAAGGUAACAGAUGUUCAGAAAUAUCUCCUUUCUAUCUCUAUGAUUUAACUGCUGCUCCAAGUGAGUUUUCCAUGUUUAUUUCCUUGGGGAACAGCAGCCCAGUGUCAGCCUGCAUGGGGAUGCAGCUCUUUGACCUCCCUUCACACUAUGUGGCUUCUCCCCUUCCCACACCUGUGGCAUCUCUGGGCAAUGAGCACAGGGCUGGAUCCAUCCCACCUACCUGCUCCCUCUAUCUCCCAUUUCUGCAAGGCUCUGGUGGAGGCAUAUCCCCUGCACACCCAGUUCUGGGUAUCUUUUCUGUAGCUCUUGUUUUUCCUAGAUGUACACACGUUUGUCC
This 1210-nucleotide long non-coding RNA is filed under the name Phasianus colchicus (ring-necked pheasant). Its description in RNAcentral is "lncRNA (ENSPCLG00000013182.1)". Lineage: Eukaryota; Metazoa; Chordata; Aves; Galliformes; Phasianidae. The record is from RNAcentral.